RNAcentral lists this ribosomal RNA (429 nucleotides) under Bacteroidota bacterium. RNAcentral's name for it is "Bacteroidetes bacterium partial 16S ribosomal RNA". It matches the Rfam family "Bacterial small subunit ribosomal RNA", at positions 355 to 776 of the family's 1533-position model. Lineage: Bacteria; Pseudomonadati; Bacteroidota. The record is from RNAcentral.
UAGGGAAUCUUCCGCAAUGGACGCAAGUCUGACGGAGCAACGCCGCGUGAGUGAAGAAGGAUUUCGGUUCGUAAAACUCUGUUGUUAGUGAAGAACAGCGCAUAGAGUAACUGUUAUGCGUGUGACGGUAUCUAACCAGAAAGCCACGGCUAACUACGUGCCAGCAGCCGCGGUAAUACGUAGGUGGCAAGCGUUGUCCGGAUUUAUUGGGCGUAAAGCGAGCGCAGGCGGUCAAUUAAGUCUGAUGUGAAAGCCCCCGGCUCAACCGGGGAUGGUCAUUGGAAACUGGUUGACUUGAGUGCAGAAGAGGAGAGUGGAAUUCCAUGUGUAGCGGUGAAAUGCGUAGAUAUAUGGAGGGACACCAGUGGCGAAGGCGACUCUCUGGUCUGUAACUGACGCUGAGGCUCGAAAGCGUGGGUAGCAAACAGG